CAGCAGCAACCAGCGACCACAUCCCUCCCAUAUCUGGCCUCUGUCCACUCGUCAUCUAGGAGGAGGUGCUGCUGCACCAGACCACUCUCUGCCUGACAUCUCUAAUACACGCAAUUACACAAUUUAUCAAACCUCCUUCAGACGUUCCAAUCAACACAGUCACACGCCAAACGCCGAAGAUGAUGAUGAAGACAAAUGAAUUGGAUUCAUGUUUGAGAAAAGCACUCUUGGCAGACUACAGCAAAGGAAAUGGCUACAAAGCAGUAUCAAAUAAAUAUGAAAAACCAAAAUCCACCAUCACAGCAAUAAUCAAGAAAUACCACAGAACAAAUUCAACCGAAACGCUUGAAAGAAGUGGACAUCCAAUAAAAUUACGAGUACAGCAGGUAGGAGAAUCAUCUGAGUAGCUAAAAAAGAUCCAAGAUUAAAAAUCAAGGACUUAAAGAAAGAUUUAGAAGCAUCAGGCAUAAUAGUGCACGAGAGAACUGCACAAAGACACCUGAACACAAAAGAGUUGUAUACCUGUAGAUCUCACUGCAAACCACUUUUAAAGAAAAUCAAUAAAACAAACAAAUCUGAAGCAUUCUUUAACAAAAUUCUCUGGUCCAAUGAGACUAAAAUAUAACCUUCCCCCAAAAAUGAACAAUAGUAUUUUUGGAGAAAAAAGGGGAAGUCUUCAAUGAAGAAAGCCUUGUACCUACAUUUAAACAUGGAGGUGGUUUGUCCGUGAUAUGGGGGUGUUUUAGCAGUUCAGGGGUUGAGACAUUCAUGUCAUUGAAGAUGGAAUUAAUGCAGCCAUGUAUCAAAACAUUCUACAAAGUACAAUGAUACCAUCUGCUCGUAGGAUGAUUGGCAGACAGGUUAUCUUCCAACACAACCAUGACCCAAAGCAUACAGCUAAGUCAACUGGAAUUCUUGAAGAAAAUUAAGAUAAAAAUUUUGGAGCUCAUUUUUAUAUUGCGAGAGGCUAAGUUCAGAUACCAUAGUUAUCACCUGCUAUUUUAAAGUUAUCACCUGCCAUUUCAAUGUUAUCACCUGUUUCUUUUUUUCAAGUAGAAUAGUAGUCGAGUUUCAAUAUGACAGGUAGGCUAGCAAAUACCCCCAUUCUACAUGCUGUAUGUCUGAAAAUACACAAACCAUGCAAUACAGGUUUAAAUGACCUAACACCUCAUUUUCUAUCUGUGUAUGACUUAUUAUUAUUUACAUAUUCACAUGUAAUUUACACGUUUGUAACUGCACUAUAAACACAGCAUUGUGUUAAAAUAAAGAGUUAUUUAAUAAAUCUAAUUUAAUAUUUAACAGAAUUUCACAAACAAGAUUUAACAUACUGUUUGAAGUAUCAUAAACAUCUGAAAGCCAUAAUAAAAGCAAAAGGAGGACACACAAAAUACUAAAGCAGGGGUGCCAAUAAUUUUGUCAUUAACGAAUACUUUAAAUGAAAUAGGUUUUUUUAGGGUUUUUUUAAUAAAGGUUUUUUAAGUAUUUUUAUAAAGAUUAUUAGUGUAUUUUGCAUUUGAAUUAAAAAAUAGUUAAAGUAAGGGUCCCCGAGUGACUCAUCAGUUAAAGUGCUGCCACUGGGUGUGCAGGAUGAGUCAUACAGAUUGGACGGCGCCAGUCUGCUUUCUGGUGUGGGGGAUGGGAAACUGGCAGGAUUCCUUCUCCUCAUCGCGCAACAGUGAACCCUACUGGCCAGACACUGAGCACAUUCAGAAUGGAUAAAAAGCAGGGCUGACCUCUGUAGCCCGCCCACCUCCGCUCUGGAUUGCUCGCCAUAAAAGCGAUUCUGGCGUUAGGCUUGUGAGAUUGGAGGAUACACACACCCUCAGAACGUUUGUACUGUGUGGGGACUCGCUGCGGUGAAGAGAAAAAACAUAAGUGACAUUCCAAAUUGGGGGUAAAAAUAAAUAAAAAUAAUAAUUGGUCACCUAAAUUAAAAAUAAUAAUAAAAAAGUUUACUAAAUGCUUGUCCUUAAUCUGUUACCUUGAAUUACAGCAUAGCCUAAUAUGCAUAGGGUGCCAAAAAUUUUCUCUGUGACUGUAGGUGACACAGACCUGUUGUCACAAAUUACACGCUUGUGCUUCUUUCCAAUCUGCUAGGAAAUGUCUAUGGUUAAAGUACACCAUAUCGUCUGCCUAUGUGCUGCUGGGGGAAAAUAAAUAAAAAAUCAGUAUAGUUUGGCCUUGAUGUGCAAAUGGUAAUAGCAUCUGAAAGGAGUGGAGAAUCCUGUGAGCUGUGUUACUUGCUGUGAACCUAUUGCUGCCAAUAAAGAGCCUGCCGGCUAUUGAAUCAUG
Long non-coding RNA from Acipenser ruthenus (sterlet), 2292 nucleotides. RefSeq lists it as uncharacterized. The transcript has 2 exons. Lineage: Eukaryota; Metazoa; Chordata; Actinopteri; Acipenseriformes; Acipenseridae. The record is from RefSeq and is a predicted model, not a curated record.